RNAcentral lists this unclassified non-coding RNA (200 nucleotides) under Chaetosphaeria sp. RNAcentral describes it as "partial internal transcribed spacer 2". Lineage: Eukaryota; Fungi; Ascomycota; Sordariomycetes; Chaetosphaeriales; Chaetosphaeriaceae. The record is from RNAcentral.
UUAAGUUCAGCGGGUAUUCCUACCUGAUCCGAGGUCAACCUUGAGAAUAGAGGCUUGCGGCAGGGGCCCGCCUGGCGCCCGGAACGACGUAUAGUACUACGCUCGGGGCCAGGGCCGGGACCGCCGAUGUCUUUUAGGGGCUGCGGGUGCAGGCCCCCAACACCAGGCGAGGGCCUGAGGGUGGAAAUGACGCUCGAACA